This is a long non-coding RNA of Hippopotamus amphibius kiboko, 3479 nucleotides long. RefSeq lists it as uncharacterized. NCBI's taxonomy places the organism in Eukaryota, Metazoa, Chordata, Mammalia, Artiodactyla, Hippopotamidae. The record is from RefSeq and is a predicted model, not a curated record. The transcript has 3 exons.
CAAACAAUAGAAGUGUUGCCAUCGGACUCCUUAACCAGGUGAAGCAAGAAGUCCUUUAGUAAGGAAAAUCCGGCUUCCAGCUGCCAUAGUACCUUGUUUACCAUAUAUGGACUGCUUUGAAAAUUAGCCAAUCAGUUUGUGCCAAGCUUGAAAUUUCCCUAACCCCUUAAAUUUUGCCCCAAACCGGGUCGGGGGGUGGGGGGAAGACAGAUUUGAGCCUUGCUUCCUGUCUCCUUGCCGGUCGACCUCGCAAUAAAGCUCUUUCUUGUCUCAAAACCUGAGGCCAUAGUAUUGGCUUCUCUGCGUGCCAGGCAGUGAGCCCUUGCUCACCAAGAAUUUUUGCCGAUCACGAACGGAUCCUUUUGUGAUCGCCUGGCUGAGGCACUGUAGCCCCCGGCUGGCUGUAGGCCCUCGCCACCGACCCUGAAUGGCCACCUAGACCCAAUUUGUCUAGAGGCUCGGCUGUCGGGUUCCUGCUUCCCGCAGCAGCUCCAGGCUCCUCCGCGCUACUUUCCCUUUGGAAAGUGGAAAGAAACAGCUCCUGGGUCUUUUGGCAGAAAAAGUAGACACCAAAGUACUCCCAGGUCAAGACUGUGCCCUCCAAGCUGCGCCAUUACAAUUGGGAGACAAGCCUCAACGAGAUGUCCCUGAAGAAAUUCUUCAAAAGAUAGAAAUGGGACAGCUAAGACUCCACCUGCCCAGGAAGAGAAGGCAAGGACAUCUUGAAAGUAGACAGCUUCCACCCAGAAGUCUGGACCAGGCCAAUAUAAAUUCAAAUUCAAUCACUAAAAAUGUAAAAAUGACAUGUGUUCAUGGAUCCCAAAGAAUAAGGUCUGGUUUGGGAGGACUGUUAAAAUUAGGAAUCAUAGUUUUGUGUAUCAUAGGGUUAAUCUUUUUUUUUUUUUUUUUUUUUUUUUUUUUGGCACACGGGCUUAGUUGCUCCGUGGCAUGUGGGAUCUUCCUGGAGCAGGGAUCGAACCCAUGUCCUCUGCAUUGGCAGGCAGAUUCUUAACCACUGCGCCACCUAGGAAGCCCAAGGGGUUAAUCUUUUUACUCACCAAAUUUUUUACUUAUCAUCUGUCUCAUAUAUUUAAAAAGGCUGCCCCCCUGCUGACACGGUGAUUACCCAAGACUUAAGAGUUCAGUGUGGGACUUAUGAAUAUUUACAAUCAAGUGCAAAAACAGUUUCAUUCCUCUUAUGAAAAUCUAUGCCCCUAUUCAGCAGGAAGCAGCUAGAGCAAUCAUUGCCCUAUUUCCCUUAACAUUGAGGAAUGUACAAAGAAAAAGGGGGGAGCUAAAACAACACAUAAAACAUUGACAUGCUUACCCUGGUUUGGUCUCCUUAAAUAGGUUGUUUAUUAAUCAAACCUUGAGUUAUUUUACAGAGACAGCACUGCUCAUGUGCAAGACUGGAACCCAUGUCUCCAGGAUGACCCCAGAACCGAGAAUCUUCAGUUUACAGAAUGAGAAACAGUAGAAAUGUUGCCACUGGAGCCCCUUACCAAGCAAGAAGUUCUUUAAUAAGAUCCAGCUUGCAGCUACCCAAGUAGCUUGAUUCCAAUCAGCUUCUGACUGUCAAGACUAACCGAUAAGCUUGUACCAAGUUUGAAAUUCCCCUAAACCCUUACAUUUUGCCCUGAACACUGGAUGGGGAGACAGAUUUGAGCCCUGCCUCUCUAUUAACGCUAUAUCCUCUAGCUUGAGGUGAAAACAUUAGUUAUUUUAUCAACAUUAGUUGAUAAAAUUGCACCUGAGCUGGAUGACCAGAACUACUGAAGUUCUCCUGAGUCUUUAAUUCUUUAAUGACAGAUACAUACAUUAACAUUACCUUAGAAGCUUACUUAUGUGUCUUCCUAAACAAUUUUUUUUUUCCUACAGUAGAGAAUUGGAGACCCUGGCUGGACUUUAAAGUUCAACUUUGGACACUUCCAGCUUUAACAUACUGUGUGAUCUUAUGGAAGUUACGUAGGAUUUCUGUGCCUCUGUUUACCCAAGUGUAAAAAAAGAUAAUGAUAGCUCCUUCAAAGGUAGAUUGUAAGGAUUAAAUGAGUUUCUAUGCUGAAAAGCUUAGGAAAAUGCUUAACCCAUAGUAAGAGUUCUAAAGAUUAGCUAUUAUCAUUAUGGAGGUGUCUUGCUCAAGACUUAUAAUUCUCACUUUUCUAAUUAUCCUUUUUUUUCCCCAAAACACAAAAGCAGGAGAAAAAGCAAACACCUUGUGUUUUUAUUCUCACUGACAUGUUCCUGCAGGCUUCUCAGUAUUAAAGCUAUAUCAUUCAGUAGUGUUGCAUUUGGCUGCCAUAAUCAAGUUAACUGACUUAGAAUGCGUUUCUUAGAAUGGGUUUCUUCUCGUGCUUUUAGCAUGUCAUCAGUUUUUCUAAAGUGACAGUUUCUUGUUGAGAAAUGUUGCCAUUUGUAUUCCUAAUAUCAUAAAUUGCAGUCAUAUAUUAACUUACUAGUCUUUAUUUAGAAGUUGAAGUAACGUGCUUACUAAUUUUCUGGUUUCAUGAUUUCCUGUCUCUGGAAUAUCAGUCAUCUCUGGGUCUGUCCUCAGUCCACUGUUUUUACCUCGAUGCUCAUGAUGUCAGCCACCCACUGUUGGUGACCCCCAAAGUUGAUUUCCAGCCCUGAACUGAUCCGGUGUUUCUAAUUCAUAUAACUAGGCUUCUUAUCAGCACUUCACAUGACUAUUCCACUAGCAGCUCAAAUAGUCUCUUCUAAAAUACCGCUACUACCAUUAAUGGCCUGACCAACUUCAGAGAUAAAAGAUUUUAUCUUGUUCACUCUUGGGAACUAUAUUUACUUUGAAUACUCUUCCUGUGAACUCAUUCUUUUAAGUAAAUUAUCCUGAUUGAGCCUUAGCAGCAGCAAGCUGGAUGAAACCAUCAGGCAUCACCUAAGCCUCACUCUUAAGGUGUGAUUAAUUUUUCCUAAUUGCAAAGUCAUAGUCGUUUUAGGCUUUGUAGUUACAGCAUGUUACCAGCAGAGGGAGCUAGUUUCUUACAAUUGUGUUGCAAUUUGGCAAUGAGCCUUAUUUAACAAAGGAAUUUGUUGGGCAUUCUUAAGACUGAAUCGUCUAAGAGACCAGAAAGGUAGAAAUCUUGAUCGUUUUGAUGGGACUGUGAUAAGCUUAAGCAGAAAAAGCACCAAGUUGGGAAAACGUAUGGGCCCAGUUGUAUACAUUUCAUAUGUCUUGGAAUUUAUGAUCCUUUCUCCUAAUUACGUAAACAGGACUAGAGUAAUGCCUAACAGGUACGGGGAGGCACUCACUGAGCGGGUAAAGCUCUUUGGUGAUUAUCUGAAUGUUUGUGAGCUUAAAAGGAGAAAUUCUGAAUCUUAUCAGCUAAUUAACUCCUAGAAAAGAAAGAUACAUAAUCAUGAGACUUAUAGCCUGUUUUCAGGUCUUUCUUUACCCCCUUCUGGUGUCUGUGCCAGAAGCUGUUGUACUCUCUUCUUAAUAAACUGUUACUCUGUUACUUAUA